Molecule: long non-coding RNA, 1111 nt
Organism: Xenia sp. Carnegie-2017
Lineage: Eukaryota; Metazoa; Cnidaria; Anthozoa; Malacalcyonacea; Xeniidae
Exons: 7
Source: RefSeq, a predicted model, not a curated record
AAAGCAGAUACAAGAAGAACAUCGUCGCUUUGUUAGCCCUUUCUGUCACUUGCCUGUUGAUAUGGUAAAACAAUUUCCAAUUGACUACAUGCAUCAACUGUGUCUGGGUGUUAUGCAUAAAUUGAUUAUGGCUUGGAUGAGGGGAAAUCGCGCUGCUAAAUUGUCUGUUGCCCAUGUAGAGGCUGUUAGUAGAAACAGGAGUGCAGUUUUUCACAUAUUGCUACCUUGCAUUUAAAUCUAAUGAGUGAUUUUGCUUUUUAGAUUUGCUGGUGUACAGCGAGCUGAUCUCCCUUGCAGAAAAAGAUUUAUAUAAAUGUGAACUAGUACCAGAAAUUCAAAACACAUAGGAUCAUGCAAUAACUUCCCCAUCUACUAGUAGGACACCAUCUCAGCGUAGUGGGCUUCUGUAUGUUCUACAGGUGCUGUAGGCGUUGGUCCUUUAAAAUAUUGUUGUAGCAUCCAAAGUUCAGUUCUCACCAAACUGGAAACAUUAAUUGAUAAAAAAGAAGAAGCGUUGUCAAUAUUGCGUGCUCUGUUAAGGGCUAAGAAAGGUGUAGACGAGCACGAAAUUUUUUGAAGAUGUUGUACCUAAUCCCUUAGAUUUGGUUGAAGAACUUGAGGACCUAUCCUCUACGUCUUGAUGAAGAAGAGUCCAGAAGAAAGUUGCUGCAGUUUUUGGUAGCACUGUGCGCAAACACCUGUGCAAACAGUGUUAGAAGAAUUAUGACAAAGCUAGGAACAAAUAAUCUAUGGUCCCAAUAUAGUUUAAAAGGCAAAAAGUCAAAGUGACUAUUUCAGCACCUUGCCCUCUGCAAAGUUAUAACAAAAGCCUGCCUUAAAAGGCAUAAAGGAUGCAGCCAGGCCAACGUUAAAGAGCAAAUCGCCGAAUUUUUAAAAUAUGCUCCAGGCAAGCGAGAGGGUUCCAGAUUUAAGACAGGGAGAACUCAGUGGAACUGAAGUGGAACCAAUUCAGAAAGAAACGAUCGGACACAAUGAACGAUCGCAAGUAAAUAACAAAUUUUUAAGAAAUUUUGAGAUUUUAUAGAGAAACCAGUAUUUAUCUUUUGUACCCAAGCUAAAAACCGUAUCUAAACAAAAGCUUUGAGAAAUA